RNAcentral lists this ribosomal RNA (467 nucleotides) under uncultured bacterium. RNAcentral's name for it is "partial 16S ribosomal RNA". It matches the Rfam family "Bacterial small subunit ribosomal RNA", at positions 28 to 507 of the family's 1533-position model. The record is from RNAcentral.
GACGAACGCUGGCGGCGUGCUUAACACAUGCAAGUCGAACGGAAAGGCCCUGCUUUUGUGGGGUGCUCGAGUGGCGAACGGGUGAGUAACACGUGAGUAACCUGCCCUUGACUUGGGAUAACUUCAGGAAACUGGGGCUAAUACCGGAUAGGAGCCUCUGCUGCAUGGGGGGGGUUGGAAAGUUUCGGCGGUUGGGGAUGGACUCGCGGCUUAUCAGCUUGUUGGUGGGGUAGUGGCUUACCAAGGCUUUGACGGGUAGCCGGCCUGAGAGGGUGACCGGCCACAUUGGGACUGAGAUACGGCCCAGACUCCUACGGGAGGCAGCAGUGGGGAAUAUUGCACAAUGGGCGGAAGCCUGAUGCAGCAACGCCGCGCGCGGGAUGACGGCCUUCGGGUUGUAAACCGCUUUCGCCUGUGACGAAGCGUGAGUGACGGUAAUGGGUAAAGAAGCACCGGCUAACUACGUG